This 74-nucleotide transfer RNA is filed under the name Roseburia inulinivorans. Its description in RNAcentral is "tRNA-Asn(gtt)". It matches the Rfam family "tRNA". Rfam says of the family: Transfer RNA (tRNA) molecules are approximately 80 nucleotides in length. Their secondary structure includes four short double-helical elements and three loops (D, anti-codon, and T loops). Further hydrogen bonds mediate the characteristic L-shaped molecular structure. tRNAs have two regions of fundamental functional importance: the anti-codon, which is responsible for specific mRNA codon recognition, and the 3' end, to which the tRNAs corresponding amino acid is attached (by aminoacyl-tRNA synthetases). tRNAs cope with the degeneracy of the genetic code in two manners: having more than one tRNA (with a specific anti-codon) for a particular amino acid; and 'wobble' base-pairing, i.e. permitting non-standard base-pairing at the 3rd anti-codon position. Lineage: Bacteria; Bacillati; Bacillota; Clostridia; Lachnospirales; Lachnospiraceae. The record is from RNAcentral.
UUCCUCGAUAGCUCAAUGGUAGAGCGCACGGCUGUUAACCGUGAUGUUGUAGGUUCGAGCCCUACUCGGGGAGU